Molecule: long non-coding RNA, 222 nt
Filed under: Elaeis guineensis (African oil palm)
Lineage: Eukaryota; Viridiplantae; Streptophyta; Magnoliopsida; Arecales; Arecaceae
Description: long non-coding RNA (EGUI_LNC018836)
Source: RNAcentral
CAUAUUUUCUUUCAGUUGUAGGAUGUUUAUUGUCUAGCCAUGGUUUGAGAUUUGGGUAACAGGAUGAAUGGUUAGAACAUCGAUGAUAUUAGCCAAAUUAUUGAAAUUUACAGUUGAAUAGUUUUUUAUUACUUGUUAAAGAGGGAAUUGAUUUGUUUUGAAAUGAGAAUCUAUCGUCAUCCAGUCACAUCGAGGUUGCAUUCAAUUUAGUAUGUUCCCCAG